GUUGAUAGGGUAUUUCUUUGCCCACUUCCGUGUGUAGAACCGCCAUCCUGGCAGUCGCAGGCCCUCUAUCACAACAUCCCCUUCUGGCGGUCCCUCACUGGCACGGCCAGCCUCACUGGACGCUGGUUUCAUUCUCCCUCUCCUACGCCUUCACACCUCAAAUGCCGCGGGUCCCUUCGUGCCGCAUCACCCUUAUUGGUUCUCUUAGCCUUCCCUUCGCUAACUUCUCUUGAGUAGAACCGAGUGGAAUUCUCCCUCAGAAACGCGCGGGAACCCACCUACCUGAGGACUUCUCAGCUGCGAGGGGGUUACUGUGCAGAUGACUCUGAGGGAGAGAGCUGUUGAAUAUAAAGUCACUCCAAACCGCAGCCCAUCAGCCGCUGUUCUCAGGGUCAGACUUUCCUAGGGGAGCAGGGCCAGGUGUGAAAGAGGUGGGGAAAGGGAGCAGCAGAUUGUGUUCCGGUGGCACGCUGGCUCGGGUACUGGCUGCUUAGACCUGGACCAUUAGCAGGAACUGGCCUGGAAGUGGAGCAGCUGGGAAUUGAACUGACACCCACAUGGGAUACCAGUGUCAGGAGAAGGGGCUUAACCUACUACGCCACAACACUGGUCCUCAUGAGGUGGCAGCCUCAGCCUGAGUGCAGGAAAAGCUGGAAGAAACAAAGGUCAGUUCCCUUGGAAGAAGCUGGAAACUCUGCGCCCACUGGUUGGAAUACCUCGGAGGCAAAUCCUGCACCAUCAUCCAGAGUGCCCGGGUGAGAUCAAGCUCCAUUUGCCAGCGAUGGUAACAGAUUUGACAGCACACAUUUUGUUGUCUUCCUACUCUUCCCUGACUCACUUCUCCAACCCAGUAUUUUCUGAAAUUUUCUUUUUUUUUUAAGGACUUAUUUAUUUGAAAGUUAGAGUUACGCCAAGGCAGAGGCAGAAAGGGAGAGGUCCUCCAUCCUCUGGUUCACUCCCCAAGUGGACUCAACAGCCAGAGCUGGGCCAAUCUGAAGUCAGGAGCCAGGAGCUUCUUCUGGGUCUCCCAUGCAGGUGCAGGGGCCCAAGCACUUGGCCAUCUUCUGCUGCUUUCCCAGGCCACAGCAGAGAGCUGGAUCAGAAGUGGAGCAGCUGGGAUUCAAAUCUGGGAUGCCAGCAUUGCAAGUGGCAGCUUUACCUGCUACGCCACAGCGCCAGCCCCCUGAAAUUUUCUUCCAAAAAUUACUUGUACUGGAAUCACUGUCUCAGAGUCUGCUUCUGGAGAAACCCAAACCAAAACAGUCCCUUCCCUUUUUUAAACAGGAACAUUUGCUUCUCUUGUGGAUGCAAUUUAUUGAUACUAAUUAUAGUGAGAUAUAACAUUUAUUUUUAAAGAAUAGCUCCUUUAUUUUAAAAUUUAUUUGAAAUAAAUUAGUUAUUAAUAUAAUAGAAUAUUAAUAUAAAUUAUUUAUUGAAAGAUAGAAUGACAGAGACAGAGAUCUUCCAUUAGCUGAUUCACACACACAUACACACACACACACACACCGAUGCCUGUAACAGCUAGGCCCAGGCUAGGCCAAAGUCAGGAGCCAGGAACUCAAUCCAGGUCUUCCACACAGGUGGCAAGGACCCAAGUAUGUGAGCCAUCACUUGCUGCCUCCCAGGAUGCGCAUUAACAGGAAGCUGGAAUCAGAAACAAAGUCUGGACUCGAGCCCAUGCACUCUGGUAUGGGAUGCAAGAGCCCCCAGUGGCGUCUUGCCUGCUGUACCAAAUGCUCACCCACUAACAUAUAUUUCAAAAGGCUCAUUCUUGCUGAUGUAAGGAGACUUAACUUGGCUUGUGAGUUUCUGAGAUUCCUCCCGUUUCCUCCUGAGAGCAAAUGUGCCCGGCUGGCAGCAUCUUUGGAGCCAAGUGAUAGGCGGGGCCAAGAUCCAUGCACACUUACAAGUCGUCCUCAUUUUUAGUACUGUGCUUCCUCCUGCCCUUUGUCAUGAUUGGUGUUUUUGGGUCACGAACCUCCCUGGUUCCAUUUUUCUCAACUUCUGCCAAGGUGUGGAAAGUAUAGCUGCCUGGCCACACCAAAUCUGAAAGGUACGCCAACUGGUUAUUCCUGUUAUAAAUGCUAUAUAAAAUUUCACCUCAAUCUAAUUAAAAUGACAUCACUCAUUUUAUUAUCUCCCAUAGUUUUUGUGGUUGAAGAACUUGGGACGGGCUCAGCUGGGUGGCUGUAGCUUGGGAUCCUUCAUGCAGCUGCAGCUGGACACUGAUUGAUGUUGGACCAGUAGGGAACUGGACAGGAGUCCUCUCUUAUCUGUGUAGUCUUAGGGCCUCUCCGUAUGGUGUCUGCAUAUCGGCUACUUUGGGCUUCCUCGCAGCGUGGCAGACCCAGAAGUUUCUGAUUCCGGCAUGAGAGUCCCAGUCUCGAGAAUUUUGCAGCAUCACUUCCAUUGCAUUCUUUGGUCACUCCAAUUGAGCCUGCCUCAAUUCAGUGGGAAGGAGCAUAGACUCCAGCUCUCAAGAGGAGGAAGGGCACAGUCACAUAGUGGAGUAGCAUAUGGAAUAAAAUUUAUUAUAGUGGCCAUCUUGGGAAAAUAAUCUCCACACUGCUCUCACUACCUCUUAUACAGAGGUCCUACUCAUGCUUCUGUUUUAAUCCCACUCUACCUCCAUCCCACCAUUCUGGAUCAACUCCUAACAUUUUGUGGUUUAAGUUCAUGAAUUUCCUUGAUACUUGUGAGGGCCACUAUAUACAGGUGUGCAAACUGGACAGCACACACGUGCCGUUCACCUGGCAAACACUGUACUUCGUCUAUUUUUUGUGAUAUUUCCCAGCAGAUGGAGGUAAAGUGGGAGGGAGAGAACAACAGUGGAGGAGGAGCAGGGGUGCACCAAGGUCAGGGAACAGGGUUGGGAAUACAUAGUUUUAACCAUAUUCUGGACUUAAAAUUUUUUUCCCUCUUGGCUUUAUUCCUAUUAACGAGGGUUUCUCAACUUUUGGCACUACUGACUUUAGACUGGUCAUUCUUGGGAAAGGGAGCAUUGGCACUGUAUGUUGUAGGAUGUUUAGCAGCCUCCCUGACCUCCAUAGGAUACAAAGGCACUUUCCCACCCAGUUGUGACAAAAAUGUCUCCAGACAUUGUUUAGUGUCUCCUGAGGCUGGGAGGGGCAAAAUCACACACACACACACACCACACUGAAAACCACUACUGGGGCCAGUGCUGUGGCAUAGCGCACUAAGCCCUGGCUUGCAGCGCUGGCAUCUCAUAUGAGCACUAGUUCAAGUCCUGGCUGCUCCACUUCUGUUCCAUCUCCCUGGUAAUGUGCCUGGGAAAGCAGCAGAGGAUGGCCCAAACCCUUGGGCCCCUGCACCCAUGUGGGAGACUUGGAAGAAGCUCCUGGCUCCUGGUUUUGGAUCAGUGCAGAUCCAGCCAUCUGGGGAGUGAACCAGUGUAUGAAAGACCCCCCCCCACACACACACACUCUGUUUUGGUCUCUGCCUCUCUCUGUAACUCUUUCAAAUAAGUAAAAUAAAUUUUUAAAAAAGGGAUAAAAGGAGCUGGUGCUGUGGCGUAGCGGGUUAAGCUGCCGCCUGCAGUGCCGGCAUCCCAGCUACUCCACAUCUGAUCCAGCUCUCUGCUGUGGCCUGAGAAAGCAGUGAGAGAUGGCCCAAGUCCUUGGACCCCUGCACCCAUGUGGAAGACCCAGAAGAAGCUCCUGGCUCCUGGUUUCGGAUUGGUGCAGUUCUGGCUGUUGCAGCCAAUUGGGGAAUGAACUAGUAGAUGGAAGACCUCUCUUUCUCUCUCUGCCUCUCCUCCUCUUUCUGUAUAACUCUGACUUUCAAAUAAAUAAAUAAAUCUUUAAAAAAAGAGGGAAAAAAAAGCAAAUAAAAUACCAAGAAACUAGAUGGAAGUAAAUAAUAAAGAUAGAGCAAAAAGCAAUGAAAAAGAACACAAAUAUUCAAUAAAGAAAAACAAAACAAAAAUAGCUUAUUGAAAUAUGCUAAUAAAAACCAUAAUUCUUAUUAAAAAAAAAAAACACUACUCUCAACUGACCUGAAGACUUCUUAGCAAUUGUAACCCAGUCAGCUGUCUUCCUUUUUUCUGUAACAAAUAAUUAUUUAUGAUUUUCUAUUUUUUCAACAUUCUAUUCUGUAGGCAUUUAUAGGAGGUUAAUUCUUCUUAAUUUACUCUUAGGUCUUUCUUAUCAAGUUUAUUUACUGGCUUUCUUUUAAAGAAUUUUGAGGGCCAGCACUGUGGCUCACUUGGCUAAUCCUCCGCCUGUGGCGCCGGCAUCCCAUGUGGGCGCCGGGUUCUAGUUCCAGUUGCUCUUCUUCCAGUCCAGCUCUCUGCUGUGGCCCAGGAAGGCAGUGGAGGAUGGCCCAAGUGCUUGGGCUCUGCACCCGCAUGGGAGACGAGGAGAAGCACCUGGCUCCUGGCUUUGGAUCAGCACAGCGCCAGCCAUAGUGGCCAUUUGGGGGGUGAACCAACAGAAGGAAGACCUUUCUCUAUGUCUCUUUCUCUCAUUGUCUAACUCUAUCUGUCAAAUAAAUUUAAAAGAAAAGAAUUUUGAAAAUCUUUAAAAUGUGAUACAUUUGGGUCGCUAGGGAACCUUCCUUAUGUGGGCAUGGUUGAUGAAGCCAUUGGCCAUUGGUUUAUCGACUCAAACUUAUGUGAUAAACUUAAACUUUAAUUAAAUUAUCUUUUGUUCAAAAGACAGAGACAGAGAGAGGUCUUUCAUCCACUGGUUCACUUUCCAAAUCCUCACAGCAGCCAGGGCCAAGCCAGGCCAAAGCCAGGAGCCUAGAACUCAAUCCAGAGGGCUAGCGUUGUGGCAUAGCCACAACACUAGCAUCCUAUAUGGGUGCCAGUUCCAGUCCCAGCUGCACCACUUCCAAUCCAGCACCCUGCUAAUGCACCUGGGAAAGCAGUGGGAGAUUGCCCAAGUUAUUGGGCCCCUGCUCCCACAAGGGGAACCCAGAAGAAUCUCCUGGCUCUUGGCUUUGAUCUGUCCCAGCCCCCGCUGUUGUGGCCAUUUGAGGCAUGAACCAGCAGAUGGAAGAUCUCUGUCUCUCUCUCUUUCUUUCUGUAACUCUGUCUUUCAUAUAAAUAAAAUCUUUCAAAAAAAAAAAAAGAACUUAAUUCAGAUCUAUCUGCAUGGCAAGGGCCCAAGUACUUGAGCCAUAAUCUGCUUCCUCCCCGGGUGUACAUUAAUGGAAAGCUGGAAUGGGAAAUGGAGCCAAGAGUCAAACCCAAGUAUUCCAAUAUGGAAUGCAGACAUCCCAAGUAGCAUCUUGGUGUCUUUUCUUUUUCUUUUUUUUUUUAAUGUGUGUAUUUAUUUUCUGAAUGCAGAGUGAUGGAGGAAGGGGGAAGAGGGGAUCUUCCAUCUGCUGGUUCACUUUCUGAAUAGCUGGGUCUGGUCAAGGUCAAAGCUGGGAGCCAGGAACUCCAUCUUGAUCUCUCACAGGGGUCUCAGAGGUCCAGAUGCUUGGGUCAGCUACAUGAGCAGGGAGCUAGAUUGGAAGCAGAACAGUUGGGACUUGCUCUGACGCUCCAAUACAGAAUGCUGUUGUCACAAGAGGCACAUUAACCAGCUGUGCCACAACACCAAGUCCCCCAAGCAGUAUCUUAACCACUGCGCCAAACAUCCACUCCUCAAAUGUCAUACACAUUUAUUGCUAAGAAUUGGGGGAUAUAAGAAAGCACAGGGAAAGAAAUUAAAAAUUUCCCUUAAGCUCUCCUUCAGAUAACCAUGAUAAUGUUAUUUUGUUGAUUAUUCUUUUACUUUCCAGUCUUUUUCUCUCUCUUUCUCUGUAUGGAAGGUAUGUAUGUAUAUUGCGAUAUUGUGAAAUAUACUGUCUUAGUCCAUUUUCCGUUGCUGUAACUGAAUAACUGAGACUGGGUAUUUCAUAAAGAAAAGAAAUUUAUUUCUUACAGUUCUGGAGGCCGCCAAGUCCACAUGGACGGGCCUCAUCUAGUGAGGGUUUUCUUGCUGCUGGCAGUGGGGAGGAGGACAUUCUGAGUCCCCAGAAGUACACCUGAGAGAACCUAACAGACUUAUUCUCGAGAUAACCAAUUAACCCAUGACCUAAUCACCUCUUAAAUGUCCCACCUGGUCCCACCUCCUACUGCGUCACAGUGGGGAUUGAAUGUCAAUAUGAAUUUUGGGGGUGACGUUCAAACCACACCACCUACAUUUGGUCUUCAUCUCUGUUUCCUGAUGGACAGUUCCUUAAAUUCUUGUAACCUCCAGAGUGACAAUGGGGGUGGGAGGUGGUGGAAGAAACAGGCUCAAGUUUGAGUCGAUAAACCAAUGGCCAAUGGCUUCAUCAACCAUGCCCACAUAAGGAAGGUUCCCUAGCGACCCAAAAGGAUGGGUUCUGAGAGCUUCUGGACAUGUGGGUUCCUGGGAGGUUGUGCACCCAGAGAGGGCAUGGAAGCUUUGCCCCUUCUCCCUUUCCUCACCUUGCCCUGUACAUCUCUUCAUCUGUAGCCUUCAUAACAUCCUUCAUCAUAAGUAGGUACAUGUAAGCAGAGGAUUUCCCUGAGUUCUGUGAGCUGCUCUAGCAGUUUCAUCAACUUUAAUGAGGUGGGUGUGGAGACCUCAACGUAUAGCCAGUUGGUCAGAAGUGCAGGCCACAACUGAUGCUUUGAUUGCCUGCUGAAGUGGGCAAUCUCGUGGGACGAAGCCCAUGACCUUGGGCUCUGACACUCUCUGCCCCUAGACAACAUCAUAACUGAAUUAAAUUAGAGGGCAUCCAGCAGGUGUUUGCUGGAGAAUCUACCAGAGAAUUGUUUGGUGGGUGGAGCAUCCCUCUACCCAAAAAUGGGGUCAAAAGUCUUGAGUGAUUCUGUGAGAGCAGAGAAUAGGAAAAAGCACUUGGCUUUUUCUCUUUUCCCAUUUCCUUCACAUAUAUGUACACAUGUGUGUAUAACGUUUUAAAUAAAACCUCUUUUCAUAUGGUAGCAUUAUAAUAUGUCUCCCUGCUGUAAGCACCUUUUGCAAUCACUUCGUAUUUGCACAUUGGGCAGUUCACCCUACAGCUCAAGUUCUGAUGUCUGUGUUGACAAAGGCCAUCACUGGUCACUAUCUUGUGUGAAAUACAGAGAACGACCGCUGUUCCCUCUCAAAGCAUAACUUGAAGAAUAUUAAAAACUUAAGUCCCAUGUACUGAGCAUGUACCCAAGAUGGAGUUAACUUGUUAAUAGGCAAACAGCAAGUGAUAAACAUGAUGCAAAGGAGAAUUAGAGGGAAAGGGAUUAUAUGGUCCCUCGGGAAAGGCAGCUUCAAAUCAGUCUGCUAAGUUAGAGACAAACUGAUUAAUAUCCUAGGCUGGCGCCGCGGCUCAGUAGGCUAAUCCUCCGCCUUGCAGCGCCGGCACACCGGGUUCUAGUCCCGGUCGGGGCGCUGGAUUCUGUCCCGGUUGCCCCUCUUCCAGGCCAGCUCUCUGCUGUGGCCAGGGAGUGCAGUGGAGGAUGGCCCAAGUACUUGGGCCCUGCACCCCAUGGGAGACCAGGAGAAGCACCUGGCUCCUGCCUUCGGAUAGGCGCAGUGCACCGGCCGCAGCGCGCUGGCCACGCCGGCCAUUGGAGGGUGAGCCAACGGCAAAGGAAGACCUUUCUCUCUGUCUCUCUCUCUCACUAUCCACUCUGCCUGUCAAAAAAAAAAAUCCUAUAGAUAUUACAUAGAUGUGGACAUCUGGCACAGUGGUUAAGAUGCUGCUUGGGAUGCCCUUAUUCCAUCUCAGAGUGCCUGGUUUUGAGUCUCAGCUACCCCACUUCUCUUCCAGCUUCCUGCAGAUGCUCACCCUGAGAGGCAGAAGAUAAUGACUCAAGUACCUGGGUCUCUGCCACCCACGUAGGAGACUCAGAUUGAGGUCCAGGCUGGCUUUAGCCUGGCCCAAGCCUGGCUAUCGCAGGUGUUUGGGGAGUGAACUAGUGGAUGGAAGAUCUCUUUCCAUUUGUGUCUCUGCAUUUCAAAUAAAAUGAAAACAAAUAAAUAAGCAUAAAGUAUAUUAUACAGGGCAGUACAACUAUAACCUUUAGGAUUAUCUUUUCUACCAGACAAAAAUCAUUUGCAUCUCUAUGAAAUGAAGUUCUACAAGUAAGCAUGUAACUCUACAGAUUCUAGGUCCCAGUCAACAGAAAAACUCAAGUCCAGCAAAGGAACACUUUUUUUAUAGUGGAACACUCAGGAGUGAUCUGUGAGACCACACUAUGGCUUGCCGCCCACUUUCUGCCUUAUUUCCAAGUUUUCAGUAAUUUUUCUUUUUUUGUUAAGAUUUAUUUAUUUAUCUGAAAGUCAGAGUUACACAGAGAGAGGAAGAGACAGAGAAUGUGUGAGAGAGAUCUUCCAUCCAUUGGUUCACUCCCUAAAAUGGCUGCAAUGGCCAGGGCUGUGCCAAGUCGAAGCCAGUGGCCAGAAGCUUUUUCCGGGUCUCCCAUGUGGUUGCAGGAGGUGCAGGGACUUGGGCCAUCUUCCCUGCUUUCCCAGACAUGUUAGCAGGGAGCUGGAUUGGAAGUGGAGCAGCUGGGUCUCAAAUCCCAUAUGGGAUGCCAACAUUGCAGGCGGCGGCUUUACCCACUAUGCCACAAUGCCAGCCCCUUCAGUAAUUUUUCUUAAUAGCCCCUUUCUUUCCUCUAGUUCCCCGAGCAAAUUCAGCACAGUGUUCCCUAAGGGGAAGUGGACAAGUUUCCUUUCAUUUCCCAUUUUCUUCCCCUUGAACCUACACUUUGGGAAAGCAGGGACAGUCCUCAGGGACCUGGAUAUUUCCAAUUAGUGGCUCUUGGCCAGUUUUCCUCAUCCAUGGGGCUCUGCUCCUUUCUUUUCUUCUUCCUUUGUUACCUGCUUUCAGUUUUAAAAAUAUGUAACUUUCAUUGAGAUAUAAUUGACAUGCCAUACACCCAGGUAAAGCAUACAAUUCCAUGGCUUUUAGUAUAUUCAUAGAGCUGUGCAAUCAGUUUUAGAACAUUUUUCAUCACCCUAAAAAGAAAUCCUAUACCCAUUAGCAAUCAUCCCUGUUUCUACCCAGCCCCUGGCAACCAUUCUGUCUCCAUGGAUUUGCCUGUUUGGGAUAUUUCCUGUCAUUUGAAUCAUGCCAUCUGUGGAUCCUUUAUGAUGGUCUCCUCUAAUGAUUGUUUAAAAUUUAUUUUAUUUAUAUGACAGAAUUAAAGAAGAGGGAGAUUCACAGAGAAAUCUUCCAUUCUCUGGUUCACUCCCCAAAUGGCUAAAACAGCCAGAGCUGGGCCAGAAAGAAGCCAGGAGCCGGAAAUUUCAUUCAUGUCUUCAUGUGGGUGCAGGGGCCCAAGGACUUGGGCCAUCCUCCUCUGCUUACCUAGGUGCAUUAGCAGGGAGCUGCAUCAGAAGUGGGGCAGCCAGGACUCAAACCGGCACCUACAUAGGAUGCCAGCAUUGCAGGCAGUGGCUUUACCUGCUAUGCCACAAUGCCAGCUCUUUCUCUAAUGUUUUUAAGAUCCAACCAUCUUGCAACAUGCAUCAACACUUCAUUCCUUUUCAUUUGACAAACACCAUUCCAUCGGAGAGAUAUGCCACAUUUUAUUUAUCUGCUCAAUCAGUUGACGAACCCAUGAGUUGUUUUCACCUUGGGGCUAUAAUGAAACAUGCUGCUGUAAAUACUUGCUACAAGUUUGUUUGUUUUGGUGGACAUGUGUUUUAAUUUCUCUUGGAUAAAUACCUAGGAGUGGAAUUUCUGGGUCCUAUGGUAAUGCUAAGUCAAACCUUUCUAGCCAGAGUGCAGCCAAGAUGUUUUUCAAAGUAGCUGCACCAUGUUACAUUCCCAGCAGCAGUGUAGGCUAUUUUCAUCUUCAUUCAUUGAUGGAUGGUGGUAACUACAUGGUUUACUAUGUGCCAGUCAGUGUGCAAAGUGUAUGAGAAUUCUCAUUUCUCUGUAUCCUUAUUAAUACUUGUUAUUAGCUGUUUUAUUGUUGAUGUUAUUAUAGCCAUCUUAGUGGACAGGAAAUGGUACCUCAUUGUGAUUUUGUGGUCUUGCUUCUUAGACCAGUCUCAUUCAGAAAUCAAUUUCUCGGGCCCAGUAUUAUGGCAUAGGUGGUUAAGCCACCACUGGCAUCCCAUAUGGAUGCCAGUUUGAGACCCACCUGCUCCACUUCUUAGCCAGCUCCCUGCUAAUGCACCUGGGAAAGCAGCAGAAGAUGGCCCAAGUCCUUGGGCCCCUGCAGCCAUGUGGGAGACCUGGAAGAAGAUCCUGGCUCCUGGCUUCAGCCUGGUCCAGCCCUGGUCAUUGUGGCCAUUUGGAGAGUGAACCAGUGGAUGGAAGACCCCUCUCUCUGUCUCUCUUCUCUCUAACUCUUCCUUUCAAAUAAAUAAAAAGAAAUCAAUUUCUCACUCAAUCGGAGGCACCUAGUGCUGUGCCCUCCAGUUAGCCUUGUUUCUGUUUGUGCAUUGAGUCUGGUUGAUGAGUGAAGAAAGACUGCCUUGCUGAGCCAUCCCACAAAUGGGUGCCCCCAACAGGGCAGGACCUGGGAACCAGAUACCCGUGGAAAAUAGAGGUGAUGAAAGCCCAGAGUUGUUGUUUGAGACAGAGGAAGGAGGAAUGGAGCCUGGCCCUGGGCUGGGCCCCUUCAAGGAGGUCCUAGACAACUGUAAGGUGUCAGCUGAGGGCUACAGGAAACAAAAUGACCUUUUCCACCCCCCUGCUGUGCUGUCAGAGAUUCCACUGCACUCCCAGAAGUAAGUGAAUGAGUUGCUGCCAUUUAAAAAAUGUGGAUCCUUCUGGGAGGGGCAGGCAUCCUGCAAGAAGUCAAUACCUUAUUGUGAAUUUGUUUAUCAGAUGCCAGCCCACAGCCUGCGGGGGACAGGGCUCAGAGGAAGUGGGAGUUUGGGCUCACUGAGCAGGGAGGGAGGGGCGCGCUGGUUGUAAAGGACUGGCUCUGCUCAAGGGUCCCUUCCAGCGUGUUGAGACAGGGCCAAAAUUGGGUCAAUGAGGGUAAACGUUCAGCUCCAUUCAUCAACGGACACUCCGUGGGCGGUGAAUGUAAUUUAUGACAUGCUGCACAGGGCGCUGGGUGCUUUGCAUAGAGUUUUUCUAUUGUAUGUAUCUAUUAAUUUAUUUUACAUACACUUACAGCACAGUCUGCCACCGCCUGUCUCACACUCCACCUGUCACAUCUUGUUAGCUCCCCUGAAAAGUGAUCCCCAAGUACGAACAUUCUUUAGGACCUUCCUGGCUGUCCUCCUCACUUACCUGGUGUACUGCACGUCUUGCUGAUUUCUCAAUUUUGUAUUCAAUCCUUUAUAAAGCAGUGUCUUCUUCUGUUCCAAAUGUCCCAAUGGCUUCCUGUUGUGGUCACUAUCAAAGCAGAAUCCUUCUAAGACUCUAUAAAGCACUCCCUGGACCAUGCCCCCUUUACCAGCAGCCACCAGCUGCUCCUUGCUUAGCCACAGGACAUCUGCUGUUCCUCCAACAUACCAGCACGCUUCUGCAUAGAACACACUUCUUCAGGGAUCCACACGGCUGAUGUCCUCCCCUGCUCUAAAUCACAGCUGAAAAUCACCCCCUCAGAGAGGUCUUUCUUAACAUUCCCUCACAUGGGCUGGCGCUGUGGCGUGGCGAGUAAAGCUGCUGCCUGCAGUGCCGGCAUUCCAUCUGGGCACCGGUUCCAGUCCUGGCUGCUCCACUUCUGAUCCAGCUCUCUGCUAUGGCCUGGGAAAGCAGUGGAAGAUGGCCCAAGUGCUUGGGCCCCUGCACCCACGUAGGAGACCCAGAAGAAGGUCCUGGCUCCUGGCUUCAUAUUGGCGCAGCUCCAGCUGUUGCGGCCAAUGGGGGAGUGAACCAGUGGAUGGAAAACCUCUCUCUUUCUCUCUCUCUCUCUCUCUCUGUAACUCUGACUUUCAAAUAAAUAAAUCUUUAAAAAUUUUUUUUCUUAUGUGCCUAAAAGAGCCCUAUAUUGCUGGCUUACUCACUGUCAGAAAAGAGGGUUACAAAUACAGAAAGUGAGAACGAGAAUGAAUGGUGUUGUUGGAAUUUUAGAGUAUUACCUCAUGCUUUUCAAUAUGCAUGAAUGGAAGUAGAAAUAAAGGUGCAAAUGGUGUGUGUGUGCUGGUGCACACACAUGUGAGUGUGUGGACACACUUGUGUUCUCUAUCUCAGUCCACGCGCGAAGCCCUGGGAGCAGCAGUGGUCUCCUGAGAAUGAGCACUCAUGCCUGGAUCUUGACUUCUAAACCCUAUUCUCCACUAAAAGGAUUGACAAAGUGAUGGCUGAUUCCAGGGCUGGAGCAGGAAAAGUAUAAGAUGAGCCUGGAGCAUCUUUUUUUUUUUUUUUUUAAGAUGUAUUUAUUUACUUGAAGUCAGAGUUACAGAGAGAGAGGGAGAGAUCCAAAGUGGAGCUGCCAGGACUCGAACCGGUGUCUAUACAGGAUGCCAGCAUGUCAGGCAGCAGCUUUCCAUGCUAUGCCGCAAUGCCAGCCCCUGGAGCAUCCUGUGUCAAAAAAAAAAAAAAAAAAAAGUGCUCAAGGGGCAAGGGGAUGCUUCAAAAAGAAAAAGGAGCCAGCUGGAAGGGGCUCCCACCAGCCAGAUAUGGCUCAGGUGGAGCACCAAAAUUGUUCAUGAUAACUGAGUGUAAUUCAUUCACAGAAUGAAAUAAGCAUCCAUAAGUCCAUAAGAUAUAAGUAGAAAAUUUGAAAGGAUCAAGAUAAUUAUAUGGUUUUCAAAAUCCUCCCUUCCAAAAUAUGUUUUCAUUAAAAAGGUAAAAAGAGUAACUUCACAGUGGAGAAACCUGGCAGCCACCACCUGGGUAAUUAACCAGCUGAAGUUACUAUCUGCAGUAAUGGGACAAUUGCAUGCCACCUGGUAGGUUGCAGGGAGCGCACAGCUCUAUCCGUGUGAUCUUUUUGCCAAAGGCACAAGUACAUAAUCUGAAUCAAAUUGUGAAGACGCAUCAGAUAACCCCGAACUGAUUCCACAAAAUAACUGGCCUCUAGUUUUCUAAAAGACAUUAAGGAACUGUUCUAAACUGGAAGACAGGAAAAAACACAGCUACAUAAUCCAUGUAGUUCUAGAGGGGAUCGCGUAGCUCUGAAGGACAUUAUUGGGGCAAAUGGCAAUGUUGAAAAGGGAUCUAAAAAGAUUUAGGUGGUCAUAAUGUAUUGGUGUUAGCAGAAUGAUGCAAUUUUUUUGGUAAUUUGGGUGAAUCUCUGCUGGACUCAUUGACAGUUCCAGCAACGGCCAGAUGCCUAGUGUGGUUGCAACUGGUGCCGUCGACUCCCAACCAACCUUUCUCCACUGUCCUCUGUGUCUCCUCCACUUUCUCAGUGGACAGGUUGGUCAUCACCCCAGGCAUGUGGAGUUUUGGUUUUCUUCUUGGGCUUGGAUUGUGCUUCCUGGAACUGGCGUAUUAUCCACUGUGGGCAGCCGAGCUGGCAGAUCCUGUCACGUAGGGUCCACUACUAGUAUCUGGGCUUUCAUUCCACCUUCCAGUCAAACGUGAGACUUGAGCAAGUAUGCAUAGUGGUGCGCUUCCUCCAACAAAAAGUAAAGCUUGCAUAUGCAGCAUCUUUCAGUUUAGUUUUUCUUGGGGUAGCUAGCAACGAUGGUGAAAAUAAAAAGCUGUCGAAUCUCACACUCGAGUCUUUUGAACAGAUGCCCCAAGGUGAGGAAGAGAAGGGGCUGGUGUGCAAGAAGAUAAGCCCGACUCAAAGGAGUGCCUCUCUGUUCUUUUGCCCACAAUAAUCAAAGCAGCUGGCCUUUCUGGAGAGUAAGUUUUCCUGCUUCAAAAUAACACCAACUGUAAAAUGACAGACAAGUAUCUGAUUUCUGCUGGUGACAAAGUGACAGGGACUGCUGGUGCUGUCAAGUUUUAUUUUAUUUUGACUACGUCUGUAACAGAAGAAAUGCUAAAUUUUAUUUAGAGGUCAGUGAAGAACAAUGUGAUUUUUUUUUCGUCCAAGCUUAUGAACCUGCUAAGUUCCAGCCACUGGCCCCAAUUAAGGACAUCUGAAUUAAUACAUGAUGUGUCUUGGGGCCGGCGCUGUGGCGGAGCGGGUAAGGCUGCUGCCUGCAGUGCUGGCAUUCCAUAUAGGCACCGAUUCAAGUCCUGGCAGCUCCACUUCUGAUCCAGAUCUCUGCUGUGGCCUGAGAAAGCAGUAUAGGAUGGCCCAAGUGCGUGGGCCCCUUCACCUGCCUGGGAGACACGGAAGAAGCUCCUGGCUCCUGGCUUCAGAUCAGUGUAGCUCCAGCCAUUGCAGCCAACUGGGGAGUAAACCAGCAGAUGGAAGACCUCUCUCUCUCUCUGCCUCUGCCUCUCUGUAACUCUGCCUUUCAAAUAAAUAAAUAAAUCUUUGAAAAAAAACAAAAUAUAUGAUGUGUCUGAAAGUCUGGAUAGCAAUGUGAAAAAAGUCACUGUAGAAAGCUCAGAGAGAUGAUUUGGGUUUUGACUGGGGUGAAAACUGUGGGCAGCGACAACAGAAUGGAGGUGAGUAGCCAUCUGGAGAGAAAGCCAGCUGGACUUGGUGAUGGAUGGGACGUGGGAGCUGGUGGAAAUUCUUGGCAGUUUGGUUGCACUAAGAGAUACUGCAGAAGAGCAGUGCAGCUUCUGAGGCAUCAUGGCUUUGCCAGAUGCUAUGGGUGCCUGCUACUGUAAAGUUUCCCCCUCUCGCCCCAGCCAUGUGGAGUGUGUUCCCCAGGACACCUUCCACGAUACUCCCUUCUAUCUGCCCUCCUGUCUACCCUCCAGAAUCCCCCCUCCACCUUUGCAUUUCUGAAACUCCAGGAGUAAGGAUGCAUCUGCUAGACUUUGUAGUCCUGACCUUGUAAAGUGCAAACACCUUGGAGAUAGUUGACUAUUCCUGGUCCAAAGAGCUUGAAACCUGAUGUGGCUUGGACUUUGGAUUUUUUUGAACCAUGGAGUUUUGCAUACGUGCGAUGAGAUCUCUUGGGAAUGGGACCCAAAUCUGAACACAACUUCACUUAUGUUUCAUAUAUAUCUUAUACACAUAACCUGAAGGUAAUUUUACACGAUAUUUUUAGUGUUUCUGCAUUUUGAUUGUGACCUGUCACAUGAGGUGAGGGGUGGCAUUUUCCACUUGUGGUAUCCUGUCAGUGCUCAGAAUGUUUUGAAUUUUGGAACAUUUUGGAUUUUUGGGUUAUGAUGCUCAGCCUGUACUUACAUCUUAUUCUGAAUGGAUUUAGCCAUCCUUCUCACAGAGUGUUAGGUGAGUUAAAGCUCACUGGAAACAGGUGAGUGCCGGACAGGCUACAAAUGUGUCCAUUUCCCUGCCAGAUAGGCUGAAUGAAAGGAGCUCUCAUGGGAGCACCAACAGAAAAUCCCCAUUCCGGUGACUCUCACAUGGGCCAUGCUGUGCCACAUCCCCACCUCUUCCCUCAGCAGCACGCUCGGGACAGAGGACGGAGGACAGGAUGGGUUGCACUGUAAGGAUGAUGGCAACAGAAAGAAUAAAAAAUGAUAUCGCUUAGGAAUUUGUAUGCAAUGUACCCAGGUGGAAUUUAUCCAGUUGGGCCCUAAUUAACACAUUUUAUUCACCCACCUGGAUCCUCAAAGACACGCAAAGGUGAGAGUACAGCAUUCCUCAGGGCUAUGGAGAAUUCAGAACCCUACUUUUCCCCUCUACCUUUUCCCAACAGGUGGAAAGCCCCUAUUGACCCAUAGUUAUUAGAGGGAGGAUUAGGAUAGACAAUAGCCUGGAGACCUUGAGUUUUUUCCUUGCUGAUUAAAAAAGUCAAAUCUUAUAAUUCCAGGACCCAAAAGGAUCUAAUUUCCUUCUAGUUCUUUUCCUUUGCAUUCUUACAUAUUUGAGAACUUAACCAUGUACACUUUGAAACAAAAGAAAGCCAAACAGAAGAACAUAGAUUGUACCAUACAUACUUACGUGGUAAAAAUAGGCUGGAAAGAUGCACACUGAACGUGGGAAUGUAAAAGGCAACAAAGGUAAGUUUCACUUUUUGCUUUACUGAUUUAUGAGUUUCUAGAAAAAUGUUUAUUAAUGUUAAAAUAUUCAUGACACUUGGUAAAGAUGGUAAGACAGACUUCAUUCAAAGGGGAACAUGGAACUGCGUUUAGGGACCGUUGUAACAGGGUCUUGCAAUUUGGGAGAAUAUUGGGGCUCAACUCCAUCAAAGACGAAUGGAGAUUUAUAACCAAAGAAGCAAGUGGUCAGCAGUUGGACAAUCAUUAAGAGGAGAUAUCGGGGGUCUCCCUCUCUUGGAGCCCCCUCCUGACUGCUGCAGCGGGAGGUUUCUGACAUCAAUAAAUCUUGCUUUGCUUGCUGAGUUGUCCGUGUGGACAUUUUUUUACGUGAGACAAGAACCAAGAUCUCUUUUCUUUGCCAACAUUUUACCCAUAACAGCGUGGUGCCGUGACUUGGAUCCAGUUUGAAUUCGCCUCGCCAGACUGGUGAGCAAGCAGAUUGCUCUUGCUUCCGUUUCUUGAGAGCCUCAUUCUCCUCUGUAGUAACUCUCUCUUCGCAAGAACGCUGGGUCCCUGUCAGCCAGUUCUAAGCACUUAGCCUGGCUGCUGGUCAGGCUUACUGAGUAGGCUGGAGCGGUCCUCUGGACCUGAGGCUCUGUACUCCCCCUCUCAGCUCUGGGAAUGUUGGGUUUCCUAUUGUGGGGCUCAGUCCAUCACACAAGACUGGAGAAAGUCUUAGAGCAGCUGUGAAAGCAGGCCAGGGCCACACUCUGGUGUUUUUCAAAGGCUCCUUGCCUGGACACUAGACUCUGACAGCCCGUUAGGGUGUCGAGCUGAAAACCGCAUUCUGUUCUUCUUUCUUCGGAGAUCAAUUUGUCAGUGAGGCUGGGCGUGCUUUGGAAUGAGGCCAUGGGCUCCGUGCCCCUGCCCCAAUGGAUCCUUUCUUCACCCCGGACCCUAAGACCAUCUGUAUCUCUCUUUCUGCUGGUCUCACUCUGGAUGCUCUCCUCACCUCGCCAAAUCUCCUCAGUUCCUACAAACUUGAAUUCCAGGUCCCAUUAGCCGCUAUUUCCUUAGACAUCUGGUUGGUUCUGGGUCAGAGUUUACAUAGCCCUUUCACAGAUAGGCAGCUGACUCCUCAUUAGCUGUAGAUCCCCUGGUGACCGGGACUUGUGGAGACAAAUCUUCCAGCAUGUUCUCUGAUAUUCCCUUUCUUCCCUCUUUUUGGGCCACCUCUGUCAGGUCCUUCCUAUACCUCAGAGGAAGGUCACUGGAGAGACUUUAUUCCCCACCAUGCUCUUUUAUCCCUUCACCUGCCUGGUUACCAACCGAGGUGAUGGCCAACUCUGGUACCCUGCCUCCAAACUCUAGCUCAAGACACCUUUGUCGUGAAGACUCAUUGUCAAAAUAAGGCCCAUAAGAUAGGACUCAUGGGUAAGAGGUGUAGAAUAACUAUUUCUCUUCAUGUAGAGGAACAAAAUGAUGGUGUGUAUUUGACCGGGCAGGGGCCCAGGUCUGGCCGGCCACUGGUAAAGAGAGCUGAUUACUCCCUACACAUGCUGUUCUGACAAAUACAUACCCUAGUUAGAGGCAUGGAAGGCUGAACGAGCAUGGUUAUAUGUGCUGGUCCCAACUCCACCUUCCUCCCAUCUCUGUGGGCUUCAGUGCACAUCUGGACACCACAGGCCACAAGAGAGUUUUGAGAGAUGUCUCAAACUUAGGAGAGAUAAGAGCUGAAAGACACUUCUGUUUCUUAUCCUCUCAUUCCAGAUGGGAAACAAACUGUCUACAAUAGUCAUUCUCUAGGGUUGGAUUCUUAAACCUUGGGAUUCCUUUGACACCCCCAGAGCUUAAUGGAAAAAAAAGUCUGAUCUUUUUCUGUACCACCACAUGGCGCAGUUACAAGCUAGAGGAUGGAGAAGGUUAGCCUACGUGGUUUGAGGUUCCGUAUAUCCAGAAUUUCUUUGUGCUGAACUAUCCCUGAUAGAUCUGGGGCCACAGGAAGUUCCCUCCACCUUCUUAGAAGACUUGAGGGAGACCUUAAAGAAAUAUAUUCCAUUAGAUUCUUGACUCUGUAGAGGGACAGGUGGUUUUAAAAAGACAGAAUCCUAAUCCAGUCUGCCCAGACAUUAGGAGAAAGCUCCAGAGAAUUACAGUAAGACCUGAUA
Oryctolagus cuniculus (rabbit) is the source of this 18029-nucleotide long non-coding RNA. RefSeq lists it as uncharacterized. NCBI's taxonomy places the organism in Eukaryota, Metazoa, Chordata, Mammalia, Lagomorpha, Leporidae. The record is from RefSeq and is a predicted model, not a curated record.